This 402-nucleotide ribosomal RNA is filed under the name uncultured bacterium. RNAcentral describes it as "partial 16S ribosomal RNA". It matches the Rfam family "Bacterial small subunit ribosomal RNA", at positions 355 to 774 of the family's 1533-position model. The record is from RNAcentral.
UGGGGAAUAUUGGACAAUGGGCGAAAGCCUGAUCCAGCCAUGCCGCAUGAGUGAAGAAGGCCUUUGGGUUGUAAAGCUCUUUUAGUGAGGAAGAUAAUGACGGUACUCACAGAAGAAGUCCUGGCUAACUCCGUGCCAGCAGCCGCGGUAAUACGGAGAGGGCUAGCGUUAUUCGGAAUUAUUGGGCGUAAAGGGCGCGUAGGCUGGUUAAUAAGUUAGAAGUGAAAUCCCGAGGCUUAACCUUGGAAUUGCUUUUAAAACUAUUAAUCUAGAGAUUGAAAGAGGAUAGAGGAAUUCCUGAUGUAGAGGUAAAAUUCGUAAAUAUUAGGAGGAACACCGGUGGCGAAGGCGUCUAUCUGGUUCAAAUCUGACGCUGAAGCGCGAAGGCGUGGGGAGCAAACA